Triticum aestivum (bread wheat) is the source of this 135-nucleotide non-coding RNA. NCBI's taxonomy places the organism in Eukaryota, Viridiplantae, Streptophyta, Magnoliopsida, Poales, Poaceae. The record is from Rfam.
UUAGUACUUCCUCUGUCCGAAAAUACUUGUCAUCAAAAUGGAUAAAAGGAGAUGUAUCUCGAACUAAAAUACGUCUAGAUACAUUCCCUUUUAUCCAUUUUGAUGACAAGUAUUUCCGGACGGAUGAAAUACUAA